UCACGGUCCACUUCGGUGGCGCGCACACAGGUGCUGCAUGGCUGUCGUCAGCUCGUGUCGUGAGAUGUUGGGUUAAGUCCCGCAACGAGCGCAACCCACGUCCUUAGUUGCCAUCAUUCAGUUGGGCACUCUAGGGAGACUGCCGGUGAUAAGCCGCGAGGAAGGUGUGGAUGACGUCAAGUCCUCAUGGCCCUUACGGGAUGGGCUACACACGUGCUACAAUGGCGGUGACAGUGGGACGCGAAGGAGCGAUCUGGAGCAAAUCCCCAAAAGCCCGUCUCAGUUCGGAUUGCAUUCUGCAACUUGGGUGCAAAAAGCCGG
Molecule: ribosomal RNA, 321 nt
Filed under: Methylobacterium sp. MA1.8
Lineage: Bacteria; Pseudomonadati; Pseudomonadota; Alphaproteobacteria; Hyphomicrobiales; Methylobacteriaceae
Description: bacterial SSU rRNA
Rfam family: Bacterial small subunit ribosomal RNA
Source: RNAcentral